CCCUUCGAUGUUCCGGGCCGCACGCGCGCUACACUGACAAGUACAACGAGUAUAACACCUUGGCUGGGAAGUCUGGGUAAUCUUUUGAACGCUUGUCGUGAUGGGGAUAGAUGAUUGUAAUUAUUCAUCUUCAACGAGGAAUUCCUAGUAAGUGCAAGUCAUCAGCUUGCGCUGAUUUAGUCCCUGCCCUUUGUACACACCGCCCGUCGCUCCUACCGAUUGAAUGGUCCGGUGAAACCAUCGGAUUGUGGGGUCGUUUUUAUUGGUUGGUUUCGGCUGACCGAUAACGCCCGCGAAAAGUUGUUUAAACCUUACCAUUUAGAGGAAGGAGAAGUCGUAACA
This 342-nucleotide ribosomal RNA is filed under the name uncultured eukaryote. RNAcentral's name for it is "partial 18S ribosomal RNA". It matches the Rfam family "Eukaryotic small subunit ribosomal RNA", at positions 1470 to 1796 of the family's 1831-position model. The record is from RNAcentral.